UCUNCCGCAAUGGACGAAAGUCUGACGGAGCNACGCCGCGUGAGUGAUGAAGGUUUUCGGAUCGUAAAGCUCUGUUGUUAGGGAAGAACAAGUACCGUUCGAAUAGGGCGGUACAUUGACGGUACCUAACCAGAAAGCCACGGCUAACUACGUGCCAGCAGCCGCGGUAAUACGUAGGUGGCGAGCGGUGUCCGGAAUUAUUGGGCGUAAAGGGCUCGCAGGCGGUUUCGUAAGUCUGAUGUGAAAGCCCCCGGCUCAACCGGGGAGGGUCAUUGGAAACUGGGGAACUUGAGUGCAGAAGAGGAACGUGGAAUUCCACGCGUAGCGGUGAAAUGCGUAGAGAUGUGGAGGAACACCAGUGGCGAAGGCGACUCUCUGGUCUGUAACUGACGCUGAGGAGCGAAAGCGUGGGGAGCGAACAG
Molecule: ribosomal RNA, 422 nt
Filed under: uncultured bacterium
Lineage: Bacteria
Description: bacterial SSU rRNA
Rfam family: Bacterial small subunit ribosomal RNA
Source: RNAcentral